This 607-nucleotide ribosomal RNA is filed under the name uncultured bacterium. RNAcentral's name for it is "bacterial SSU rRNA". It matches the Rfam family "Bacterial small subunit ribosomal RNA", at positions 338 to 944 of the family's 1533-position model. The record is from RNAcentral.
CCUACGGGAGGCAGCAGUGAGGAAUAUUGGACAAUGGGCGCAAGCCUGAUCCAGCCAUGCCGCGUGCAGGAUGACGGUCCUAUGGAUUGUAAACUGCUUUUGUACAGGAAGAAACAGUUCUACGUGUAGAACCUUGACGGUACUGUAAGAAUAAGGAUCGGCUAACUCCGUGCCAGCAGCCGCGGUAAUACGGAGGAUCCAAGCGUUAUCCGGAAUCAUUGGGUUUAAAGGGUCCGUAGGCGGUUUAGUAAGUCAGUGGUGAAAGCCCAUCGCUCAACGGUGGAACGGCCAUUGAUACUGCUAAACUUGAAUUAUUAGGAAGUAACUAGAAUAUGUAGUGUAGCGGUGAAAUGCUUAGAGAUUACAUGGAAUACCAAUUGCGAAGGCAGGUUACUACUAAUGGAUUGACGCUGAUGGACGAAAGCGUGGGUAGCGAACAGGAUUAGAUACCCUGGUAGUCCACGCCGUAAACGAUGGAUACUAGCUGUUGGAAGCAAUUUCAGUGGCUAAGCGAAAGUGAUAAGUAUCCCACCUGGGGAGUACGUUCGCAAGAAUGAAACCUNAAAGAUUGACGNUGAGAGNGCGACGACGACGACGAGGGAGGAGG